RNAcentral lists this long non-coding RNA (1377 nucleotides) under Sus scrofa (pig). Its description in RNAcentral is "lncRNA (ENSSSCG00060071111.1)". Lineage: Eukaryota; Metazoa; Chordata; Mammalia; Artiodactyla; Suidae. The record is from RNAcentral.
CUCUGUUUAGAUGACAUGAUAAUAUACAGAGAAAUUCCCAAAGACACCUCUAGAAUACCACAGCUCUUCAAUGAAUUCAGUAGAAUUGCAGAAUACAAAAUCAAUGCACAGAAAUCUGCCAUACUUCUAUACCUUAAUAAUUAACCUAGCAGAAAGGGAAUUAAGGAAACAAUCCCACUUACCAGCGCAUCAAAAGGAAUAACAUACCUGCAAAUAAACCGAGCAGCUUUUCUACUUUCGAACCACUCUUGAUGAAACAAACACUUUCAACACCAUGAAAAUGCAGCUCAUCAAGCAAUGACCUCCUGGGAAUUCCAAGGCGCUCAGGAUGUCCUGAGACGUAUGUGUGGUAUUUAAAUCGGCUGCUUUGCUGUCCCAAUAAAUUACAACAUAAUUUUUUUGCCUUCUCAUUUUGGUCCCAGAGCUUCACGUGGAAAGGCUGAUUCAGAGGCAGGCAGUGGACAGUGAAAUCUAGUUGGAAUAGUUUACCAGUCUUAGAGAAAAAAGGCUUUGGCUCAGCUGAUGAGCCUGGAGAGGGCUUGGGCACACAUGGUCACUUGCUGAAUGUUAGAAGGUUCGUUGCACAGUCAUUUCAGCAAGAGGGGAAAAGGAUGGUCUCUUCUUUGUUUUUAUUCUAUCGGGGGAUUGAAUCAUACACGUUUAUGACCCGUGAGGUGCAAUCAUUUUUAGCAGGCAUUUUGAAGUUUCGAGAAAAUAAUUUUAACCGUGAUUUUCAAAGUCCGGAUUUCUCACGUUGUUUACUUCUGUUUCUUAUCUCUUCUAGAAGUCGGCCUGAACUAUACACAGAACACACAGAUGGAAGAUUUGAAUCAGCUGUGAAAAAGAUGAUCAGUCCUAAUCAGAAAGUAAAAAUUUAUCCCAUCACUUUUUAUGGAUCCUCUUUUGAGAUAGAACUUGAAAACUUUCUGUGGACAGCUUAAAAGCAUUGUUAAAGAAAACUCUUUUGGAAGAAAAAAUGCAGAAUCAAAGUGUACAGGAGUUCCCUUGUGGCUCAGCAGGUUAAGGAUCUGGCAUUGUCAUUCCUGUGGCUCUGGCUAUUGCAGUGGUAAGUGUUUGAUCCCUGGCCUGGAACUUUUGCAUGCUAUGGGCACAGCCCAAAAAAAUUAAAAAACAAGCGUACACCUCAGUGAACACUCUUGCAGCCCCCCCUGAUGUUAAGAAAAAGAUCCACCUGAAGCUCAGUCAGGAACCAGCUUCUCCUGCUUCCGCUUCCCUAGGGGAUAACGAACCUCUAUUCUGACUUGGAAGGCAGUCCUCCCCCUUCCUUACAGUGGUUUCUGCAGACUUUUACCUCUGACCUCUAGAUCUGAGGUCUGCCUGUUUGGGGGGCCUUUAUGUAAGCGGCAUGACACAGCA